GUUGGGUAGGGGAGCGUUCUGUAAGCCUGCGAAGGUGGCCUGUGAGGGUUGCUGGAGGUAUCAGAAGUGCGAAUGCUGACAUAAGUAACGAUAAAGCGGGUGAAAAGCCCGCUCGCCGGAAGACCAAGGGUUCCUGUCCAACGUUAAUCGGGGCAGGGUGAGUCGACCCCUAAGGCGAGGCCGAAAGGCGUAGUCGAUGGGAAACGGGUUAAUAUUCCCGUACUUGGUGUUACUGCGAAGGGGGGACGGAGAAGGCUAUGUUGGCCGGGCGACGGUUGUCCCGGUUUAAGCGUGUAGGUGUGUGUUCCAGGUAAAUCCGGUUCACUUUAACACUGAGGCGUGAUGACGAGGCACUACGGUGCUGAAGCAACAAAUGCCCUGCUUCCAGGAAAAGCCUCUAAGCAUCAGGUAACAUCAAAUCGUACCCCAAACCGACACAGGUGGUCAGGUAGAGAAUACCAAGGCGCUUGAGAGAACUCGGGUGAAGGAACUAGGCAAAAUGGUGCCGUAACUUCGGGAGAAGGCACGCUGACACGUAGGUGAAGUGAUUUACUCAUGGAGCUGAAGUCAGUCGAAGAUACCAGCUGGCUGCAACUGUUUAUUAAAAACACAGCACUGUGCAAACACGAAAGUGGACGUAUACGGUGUGACGCCUGCCCGGUGCCGGAAGGUUAAUUGAUGGGGUCAGCGCAAGCGAAGCUCCUGAUCGAAGCCCCGGUAAACGGCGGCCGUAACUAUAACGGUCCUAAGGUAGCGAAAUUCCUUGUCGGGUAAGUUCCGACCUGCACGAAUGGCGUAAUGAUGGCCAGGCUGUCUCCACCCGAGACUCAGUGAAAUUGAACUCGCUGUGAAGAUGCAGUGUACCCGCGGCAAGACGGAAAGACCCCGUGAACCUUUACUAUAGCUUGACACUGAACAUUGAGCCUUGAUGUGUAGGAUAGGUGGGAGGCUUUGAAGCGUGGACGCCAGUCUGCGUGGAGCCGACCUUGAAAUACCACCCUUUAAUGUUUGAUGUUCUAACGUGGACCCGUAAUCCGGGUUGCGGACAGUGUCUGGUGGGUAGUUUGACUGGGGCGGUCUCCUCCUAAAGAGUAACGGAGGAGCACGAAGGUUGGCUAAUCCUGGUCGGACAUCAGGAGGUUAGUGCAAUGGCAUAAGCCAGCUUGACUGCGAGCGUGACGGCGCGAGCAGGUGCGAAAGCAGGUCAUAGUGAUCCGGUGGUUCUGAAUGGAAGGGCCAUCGCUCAACGGAUAAAAGGUACUCCGGGGAUAACAGGCUGAUACCGCCCAAGAGUUCAUAUCGACGGCGGUGUUUGGCACCUCGAUGUCGGCUCAUCACAUCCUGGGGCUGAAGUAGGUCCCAAGGGUAUGGCUGUUCGCCAUUUAAAGUGGUACGCGAGCUGGGUUUAGAACGUCGUGAGACAGUUCGGUCCCUAUCUGCCGUGGGCGCUGGAGAACUGAGGGGGGCUGCUCCUAGUACGAGAGGACCGGAGUGGACGCAUCACUGGUGUUCGGGUUGUCAUGCCAAUGGCACUGCCCGGUAGCUAAAUGCGGAAGAGAUAAGUGCUGAAAGCAUCUAAGCACGAAACUUGCCCCGAGAUGAGUUCUCCCUGAGACUUA
Molecule: ribosomal RNA, 1619 nt
Filed under: Salmonella enterica
Lineage: Bacteria; Pseudomonadati; Pseudomonadota; Gammaproteobacteria; Enterobacterales; Enterobacteriaceae
Description: bacterial LSU rRNA
Rfam family: Bacterial large subunit ribosomal RNA
Source: RNAcentral